GAGUGAAGCGGCAAAAGCUCAAAUUUGAAAUCUGGCGCUUCCGGUGUCCGANUUGUAAUUUGGAGAGGCAUCUUCUGGGGGGANCCGGCCUAUCUUCCUUGGAACAGGAGGUCACAGAGGGUGAGAAUCCCGUCCUUGGCUGGAUGUUCCCCCCUGUACGUANNGNCUUCUACNANUCNAGUUGUUUGGGAAUGCANCUCAAAAUGGGUGGNAAAUUUCNUCUAAAGCUAAAUACUGGCGAGAGACCGAUAGCGCACNANUANAGUGAUCNAAANAUGAAAAGCACUUUGAAAAUAGAGUCAAAANNUACGUGAAAUUGUUGAAAGGGAANCGCUGGAGACCANACUCGGCCCCGGAUGAACAAGNCGCCUUCNGNNGGUUGCACUUGUCCUGGGCCGGGCCAGCAUCAGUUGGGGCGGUGGGAUAAAGGCGCGCGGAAUGUGGCUCCCCUCGGGGAGUGUUAUAGCCGCGGGUGCAAUGCCGCCUGCCCCGACUGUGGACCGCGCUUUGGCUAGGAUGCUGGCGUAAUGGUUUUCAGCGACCCGUCUUGAAACACGGACCAAGGAGUCUAACAUCUAUGCAAGUGUUUGGGCCUCAAACCCUCACGCGUAAUGAAAGUGAACGGAGGUGGGNACCCCGCGAGGGACGCACCAUCGACCGAUCCUGAUGUCUUCNGAUGGAUUUGAGUAGNANCAUAGCUGUUGGGACCCGAAAGAU
RNAcentral lists this ribosomal RNA (717 nucleotides) under Geomorium singeri. RNAcentral's name for it is "partial large subunit ribosomal RNA". It matches the Rfam family "Eukaryotic large subunit ribosomal RNA", at positions 91 to 824 of the family's 3401-position model. Lineage: Eukaryota; Fungi; Ascomycota; Pezizomycetes; Pezizales; Geomoriaceae. The record is from RNAcentral.